Molecule: ribosomal RNA, 468 nt
Filed under: uncultured bacterium
Lineage: Bacteria
Description: partial 16S ribosomal RNA
Rfam family: Bacterial small subunit ribosomal RNA
Source: RNAcentral
GAUGAACGCUGGCGGCGUGCUUAACACAUGCAAGUCGAACGGAAAGGCCCAAGCUUGCUUGGGUACUCGAGUGGCGAACGGGUGAGUAACACGUGGGUGAUCUGCCCUGCACUUCGGGAUAAGCCUGGGAAACUGGGUCUAAUACCGGAUAGGACGAUGGUCUGGAUGCCAUUGUGGAAAGUUUUUUCGGUGUGGGAUGAGCUCGCGGCCUAUCAGCUUGUGGGUGGGGUAAUGGCCUACCAAGGCGUCGACGGGUAGCCGGCCUGAGAGGGUGUACGGCCACAUUGAGACUGAGAUACGGCCCAGACUCCUACGGGAGGCAGCAGUGGGGAAUAUUGCACAAUGGGCGCAAGCCUGAUGCAGCGACGCCGCGUGGGGGAUGACGGCCUUCGGGUUGUAAACUCCUUUCGCUAGGGACGAAGCGUUUUUGUGACGGUACCUGGAGAAGAAGCACCGGCUAACUACGUG